This 253-nucleotide ribosomal RNA is filed under the name uncultured bacterium. RNAcentral's name for it is "partial 16S ribosomal RNA". It matches the Rfam family "Bacterial small subunit ribosomal RNA", at positions 524 to 776 of the family's 1533-position model. The record is from RNAcentral.
UACGAAGGGGGCUAGCGUUGUUCGGAAUCACUGGGCGUAAAGGGUGCGUAGGCGGCUUUGUAAGUCGGGGGUGAAAGCCUGUGGCUCAACCACAGAAUUGCCUUCGAUACUGCAUGGCUUGAGACCGGAAGAGGUAAGUGGAACUGCGAGUGUAGAGGUGAAAUUCGUAGAUAUUCGCAAGAACACCAGUGGCGAAGGCGGCUUACUGGUCCGGUUCUGACGCUGAGGCGCGAAAGCGUGGGGAGCAAACAGG